This 248-nucleotide ribosomal RNA is filed under the name uncultured Synechococcus sp. Its description in RNAcentral is "partial 16S ribosomal RNA". It matches the Rfam family "Bacterial small subunit ribosomal RNA", at positions 356 to 619 of the family's 1533-position model. Lineage: Bacteria; Bacillati; Cyanobacteriota; Cyanophyceae; Synechococcales; Synechococcaceae. The record is from RNAcentral.
GGGGAAUAUUGCACAAUGGGCGCAAGCCUGAUGCAGCGACGCCGCGUGAGGGAUGAAGGCCUCUGGGCUGUAAACCUCUUUUAUCAAGGAAGAAGAUCUGACGGUACUUGAUGAAUAAGCCACGGCUAAUUCCGUGCCAGCAGCCGCGGUAAUACGGGAGUGGCAAGCGUUAUCCGGAAUUAUUGGGCGUAAAGCGUCCGCAGGCGGUCUUACAAGUCUGUCGUUAAAGCGUGGAGCUUAACUCCAUU